Molecule: ribosomal RNA, 442 nt
Filed under: Ophraella slobodkini
Lineage: Eukaryota; Metazoa; Arthropoda; Insecta; Coleoptera; Chrysomelidae
Description: 16S ribosomal RNA, large subunit
Source: RNAcentral
NNAAUUAAAUGGCCGCAGUAUUUUGACUGUGCUAAGGUAGCAUAAUCAUUAGUUUUUUAAUUGAAAGCUGGAAUGAAGGGUUGGAUGAAAAAAAGACUAUUUUUAUUUAAUUAUAUUAAAAUUUUAUUUUUAAGUUAAAAAGCUUAAAUUUUAUUAAAAGACGAGAAGACCCUAUAGAGUUUAAUAUAAAUUAAUUUUAAUAAAAUUAGAAUUUAAUUUUUUAUUUUUAAUUUAUAUUUAAUUGGGGUGAUUGAAAAAUUUAUUUAACUUUUUUUUUAUUUUAAUAUAUAUAAAUAAUUAUUUGAUCCAAUAUUUUUGAUUAUAAGAUAAAAUUACCUUAGGGAUAACAGCGUAAUUUUAUUAGAGAGUUCAAAUCGAUAAUAAAGAUUGCGACCUCGAUGUUGGAUUAAAAUUUAUAGUUGGUGUAGAAGCUAAUUAAUUA